GAUGAAGAACCGUAGCGAAAUGCGAUAAGUAGUGUGAAUUGCAGAAUUCAGUGAAUCAUCGAAUCUUUGAACGCACAUUGCGCCCUUUGGUAUUCCUUAGGGCAUGCCUGUUCGAGCGUCAUUUAAACCUUCAAGCCCUGCUUGGUGUUGGGUGCCUGUCCCGCCCCCACGCGUGGACUCACCUCAAAUCCAUUGGCGGCCCCCGCACGGCCACGAGCGCAGCAGAAACGCAAACUCGUGUGCCGGGCCGGGUGGCUCCCAGAAGCUACAUUCACCAUUUUGACCUCGGAUCAGGUAGGGAUACCCGCUGAACUUAAGCAUAUCAAUAAGCGGAGGA
RNAcentral lists this unclassified non-coding RNA (337 nucleotides) under soil metagenome. Its description in RNAcentral is "partial contains 5.8S ribosomal RNA, internal transcribed spacer 2, and large subunit ribosomal RNA". The stretch from base 1 to 121 matches the Rfam family "5.8S ribosomal RNA", at positions 35 to 154 of the family's 154-position model. The record is from RNAcentral.